Molecule: unclassified non-coding RNA, 406 nt
Filed under: soil metagenome
Description: partial contains 5.8S ribosomal RNA, internal transcribed spacer 2, and large subunit ribosomal RNA
Rfam family: 5.8S ribosomal RNA (bases 1-121)
Source: RNAcentral
GAUGAAGAACGUAGCGAAAUGCGAUAAGUAAUGUGAAUUGCAGAAUUCAGUGAAUCACCGAAUCUUUGAACGCACCUUGCGCCCUUUGGCCAUUCCGAAGGGCAUGCCUGUUUGAGUAUCAUGAACACCUCAACUCUUCAUGGUUUUCCAUGAUGAGCUUGGACUUUGGGGGUCUUGCUGGCCUGUGGGUCGGCUCCUCUCAAAUGAAUCAGCUUGCCGGUUUUUGGUGGGCAUCACAGGUGUGAUAACUAUCUACGCUUGUGGUUUUCCACCAGGGUAACCUUCAGCAGUGGAGGUUCACUGGAGCUUACAAAUGUCUCUCCUCUGUGAGGACAGCCCUUUGAAUGUUUGAUCUCAAAUCAGGUAGGACUACCCGCUGAACUUAAGCAUAUCAAUAAGCGGAGGA